RNAcentral lists this ribosomal RNA (154 nucleotides) under Ancyromonas mediterranea. RNAcentral describes it as "Ancyromonas sp. GTor-2021a 5.8S ribosomal RNA". It matches the Rfam family "5.8S ribosomal RNA". Rfam says of the family: 5.8S ribosomal RNA (5.8S rRNA) is a component of the large subunit of the eukaryotic ribosome. The record is from RNAcentral. Lineage: Eukaryota; Ancyromonadida; Ancyromonadidae.
CACUUUUAACAACGGAUGUCUUGGUUCUCGUAACGAUGAAGAACGCAGCGAAACGCGAUAUGUAAUGUGAAUUGCAAGAAACCGUGAAUCAUCAAAUCUUCGAACGCACAUUGCACUCUCCAUUUACUUGGGGAGUACGUUUGGCUGAGCGCCA